GCAGACACAUUCCAGCCAAUCAGCAGCAGACCCUCCCUCCCAGACCCUCCACCUCCUGGACAGCAUCCAUUUUGAAGCUGCAUUCUUAGUGGGCUGUCCAGGAGGUGGGAGGGUCUGGGAGGGAGGGUCUGCUGCUGAUUGGCUGGAAUGUGUCUG
RNAcentral lists this microRNA precursor (156 nucleotides) under Pelobates cultripes (western spadefoot toad). Lineage: Eukaryota; Metazoa; Chordata; Amphibia; Anura; Pelobatidae. The record is from RNAcentral.